Long non-coding RNA from Pan paniscus (pygmy chimpanzee), 353 nucleotides. Lineage: Eukaryota; Metazoa; Chordata; Mammalia; Primates; Hominidae. The record is from Ensembl.
CUUUUUCUUUGAAUGGACCCAUGCUUUCGGAAUCCCAAAACUGAAUCAAGAAGCUUCCUCAGGAGAAAAGCAAUGGUGCCGCAUCCCAUCCUUACUGGCAUAUAGAUACCAAACAGUGCAGGAUGAAGCCCGGUGGACUCUGUUUGAUCUAUACUGAGUACCAGCGAAAGGAUACAGCACUGUCCCCACUACCACUGGCAGCUAAGGCAGUUCUAAAGGUAAAGAUCACUCUUGACUCUUCCACCUCUCCACCAGGGCAUUCCAGUGAUAGCCAGAUCAAUACUGAGGUAAAUGAAGGAGACAAACCUACCCAGUGAUCCCACAAGAGGCCAAUCUGGAGCUGAUCAUCAGAC